AUGAAGUGAGCUUGCUCACGGAUUUAGCGGCGGACGGGUGAGUAAUGCCUAGGAAUCUGCCUGGUAGUGGGGGAUAACGUUCCGAAAGGGACGCUAAUACCGCAUACGUCCUACGGGAGAAAGCAGGGGACCUUCGGGCCUUGCGCUAUCAGAUGAGCCUAGGUCGGAUUAGCUAGUUGGUGAGGUAAUGGCUCACCAAGGCGACGAUCCGUAACUGGUCUGAGAGGAUGAUCAGUCACACUGGAACUGAGACACGGUCCAGACUCCUACGGGAGGCAGCAGUGGGGAAUAUUGGACAAUGGGCGAAAGCCUGAUCCAGCCAUGCCGCGUGUGUGAAGAAGGUCUUCGGAUUGUAAAGCACUUUAAGUUGGGAGGAAGGGCAGUAAGCUAAUAUCUUGCUGUUUUGACGUUACCGACAGAAUAAGCACCGGCUAACUCUGUGCCAGCAGCCGCGGUAAUACAGAGGGUGCAAGCGUUAAUCGGAAUUACUGGGCGUAAAGCGCGCGUAGGUGGUUUGUUAAGUUGGAUGUGAAAGCCCCGGGCUCAACCU
RNAcentral lists this ribosomal RNA (550 nucleotides) under Ectopseudomonas oleovorans. Its description in RNAcentral is "bacterial SSU rRNA". It matches the Rfam family "Bacterial small subunit ribosomal RNA", at positions 69 to 615 of the family's 1533-position model. Lineage: Bacteria; Pseudomonadati; Pseudomonadota; Gammaproteobacteria; Pseudomonadales; Pseudomonadaceae. The record is from RNAcentral.